RNAcentral lists this ribosomal RNA (326 nucleotides) under Shigella boydii. RNAcentral's name for it is "bacterial SSU rRNA". It matches the Rfam family "Bacterial small subunit ribosomal RNA", at positions 1 to 323 of the family's 1533-position model. Lineage: Bacteria; Pseudomonadati; Pseudomonadota; Gammaproteobacteria; Enterobacterales; Enterobacteriaceae. The record is from RNAcentral.
AAAUUGAAGAGUUUGAUCAUGGCUCAGAUUGAACGCUGGCGGCAGGCCUAACACAUGCAAGUCGAACGGUAACAGGAAUCAGCUUGCUGAUUCGCUGACGAGUGGCGGACGGGUGAGUAAUGUCUGGGAAACUGCCUGAUGGAGGGGGAUAACUACUGGAAACGGUAGCUAAUACCGCAUAAUGUCGCAAGACCAAAAAGGGGGACCUUCGGGCCUCUUGCCAUCAGAUGUGCCCAGAUGGGAUUAGCUUGUUGGUGGGGUAACGGCUCACCAAGGCGACGAUCCCUAGCUGGUCUGAGAGGAUGACCAGCCACACUGGAACUGAG